This 311-nucleotide long non-coding RNA is filed under the name Phaseolus vulgaris (common bean). RNAcentral describes it as "long non-coding RNA (PVUL_LNC003870)". Lineage: Eukaryota; Viridiplantae; Streptophyta; Magnoliopsida; Fabales; Fabaceae. The record is from RNAcentral.
UUUGCAUUACCUAAUUCUUAAUGAUAGAUUAACUUCACUGAUCUUGGUUUGAGCGUUAACUGUAAUAGGGGUCGGCCAUCGGCCAAAUCAUCAUGGCAUGGGUCGGCCAUCGGCCAUGUUCCAGUGGUCUCGGUCAUCUCGGCCAAGUCUUCUAAGGUCUCGGCCUCUCGGCCAAGUCUUCUAAGGUCUCGGCCUCUCGGCCAAGUCUUCUCAGGUCUCGGCCUCUCGGCCAAGUCUUCCCAAGUCUCGGCCUCUCGGCCAAGUCUUCUAAGGUCUCGGCCCCUCGGCCGUCUCGGCCAAGCCUUCCAAGG